ACAGGUCUUAAAUGUGGGAAAUAGUCUAUAGUUUGGAAGACACCAGAGAAAAAUGCUCCACAGCUCGCCCUGGUGACUCACUACAACUUAUGGGAAGAUGUGAGAUUAUUCUGUAUUCUAAUGUAUGUUAGAAGGCACACUCCACCCAAAGUCUUCCUGUGUGUUCCUCCCUGUGAGCUCACAUCCCGUUCACCAGCUGACUGGGAAGGGAAGUCAGGACCAGCCCUGACCCCAUCACACCAUCAUAACCUCGGGAUGGCAGGGCUGGAAGGCACCUCAGAUGUCCUUUGCAGACUCUUCAUUUUACAGUGAGAGGCAUGAAGUGUCCACAGCUGGUUAGUGCCGAAGCCUGGGACAGGCUUCACAUUGUCCAGCUCUUAGUCAGAGCACUGUUGACAAUGUCUGCCUUCACUUGGAAUUCAGCACCUGCUUUCAGUAUAAACCCCUGCAUUUCACUAAAACUGAGCAGACUGCUGGUUUAAAAAAGAGAGGUCCAUCCAGCAGGGAUGACGCUUUUCCUCCUUGAAAGAGGACAUUCACCUAAUGGGAGACCUGGAGUCAGAAUCUUUCUGAUGUGUGACUUGGCACAGUAACACAAUGCAGGAUGCUGGUGUGUUAAUAGAAAUAAAAAUUGCAUCUGCCUACCUCAGAGUCGACAACAAUGUCAAGGAGUUAAUAGUCUUGGCAACACAGAGGCCACUGGACAGAGGCAUAACCUUGCGUGGCAGCUGCACGGGAAUUGGAUUUGGCUCAGGUGUUUCAGAUGACUAAGAAAACCAAAAGAUCCUGCCUUACUAUGCACCUAUGGCCCUUCAAAGGCGAGAGUAGAAUCUGCUGUGAUUUAGAAGCAAACAAGAAAAAGUACACAUCAGGUGAAUGGCUGCUAGCUAAGACCUUGGGCUUUGGGGUCAGACAGGCCUGGGUUUAAAUCCUGGCCCUGUCGUUCUGGGGAAACAUGUUUCUGCUUUCUCCUAUAUGAAAUAGAGGCAGUGGGUAUCCUGAACAUGUCACCUUUACUUGUCCAGCUUGUCAGUUAGGGUUUGGUUAGGGAAACAGAGCUGCUGUAAACAUUAUGGGAAUAAGGGAUUUUAUUCAGAAUUGGAGCCUGCACAGAUGUAGAAGGAGGCAUGAAGAGGGUAUUGGAGGAUUGGCCACUAUGCAGUCUGCAUCCUGAGUCUGUGGUGAGGCUGGACACGUUCAAGCUUACAGGAGAAUUGGAGAAAGCAAGCAACACAGCGGUGGAAGUGAGACCACUGAAGGUAAGCUUGGGAGGGGGUCCCGACACCACCACAUCAGUGGAUCCACAGCUAAGUGAUUGGUGGUGGCCUGGGGUUCUGCUGUUUAGCAGGGACAAGAGUGGAGGAGACAAACUGGACUCGGAACAAACUGGGAGCCUCUGCAUCCAUCCGUAACUGUCUGGCCAUGACAGUGGUUAGAGAGGAGUAGCUUCUGUGAAACUCUCACAAUCUCAAAUCUCCCACAAGUGCCUCUUUCAGCUAACUCUAAACUGGUACCAUAGAGGAAAUGGAUUCUGAAAACUUGGUCUCCAACCUUAGACAAAUUGAAUAAUUAAUAUGUCCUCUCCUGCUUCUUCCGUAACUGAAUUUGCAUUGGGAAGCAGGCCUGUCACUCUCAGACUUUGUGGUUUGAGUAGGGCUCACUUCAGCACCACCUUUUCCUCCUCUCAGCCCCACGGACUGGCAUGAGACUCAGGCCUGGCCAACUGAAUGUCACACACCUAUGACCAUCAGUUGGCUCAGAGAUGGACUCAGGACACCAUCACAGCCAAUGAAACCCUGUUAGGGAAAUUUGUCAGAACCAUACAAAGAAAUAGCUCCACUUUUCCACAGAGAUGAGACAUAAGCCUGGACUAACUGGUGUCCAAUUUGCCAUCAAGAGAGCCUCUGAGAAGACAGAGGAAAACUGGGGAAAGCGAAGUCUAAGGAAGGCGAGUAAGGACAAGUCCAGUUGACAUUACAUGAAUCACCUGGACCUGGAAAUCAAGGCAUUGCUGGAUUCAAGGCCAAGAAAAAUUGGAAGCUGACUUGAAUCAGGUUCUAUCACUUGCAGUUGAAAAGGUCCAGACUAAUACGAUAACAAAGGAGCAAGUAAGCAAGAUUCUGCCCUACAGUAAGUGCUCAAUGCAUGUCAGCUGGUAUUAUUAUUAUACAGACUUCUAUUUCUAGCCCUUUUAUUUCUACCACCUCUCUUCUGUGUUGUAUGUAAAGUGCAUAAGGAUUGUUCUGUUUGGAAACAUCAAACCAUAUAAAAUGACACCAGCAGGUCCCUUUCUGUCUGUCAGUGUCCGCAAGCUCAACAACCAGGAUCAGCAGACAAAAACAGCUAAGCUGGAGUCAGUGUUUUUAUGAAGAAAUAGGAAAAGAGCUUACUUGGGAACUGUAGCUCAUCCUUCAAUAUUCUCCAUCCUAUCACUCUUUUCAUGACAGUUUCUUCUUGGCCCUGAAGUUGCCUUGUCAUGGCUCUCUGCCUCUGUCCUUUCUCUGUCUCACUUACAUCUUCCAACGAGGAAUACAGCAAGACCUUUGGAUAAGGACAUCCAAAGGUCCUCAGUAUCCUUAGGACACUCAGUGCAGAACUAGAGGGACUGAGAGGAGGAGCUUUUGCAGGUUAAAUGACUAGUGAAUGGCCUUUCCUUAUAUUUCCAUUAGAAAUGGGAUUAGCUACACCUGAGAAGGAAUGACUUUGGAACAACUGAUCCCUAGCUUUCCAAAAUAUGAGAAAUUGAGAUACAGGGAGUAGUAAGCACCUAGUUAAUGAGUCAAAGCAUAUUUAUAAAGUUCACAGGGUACAUAGCAUAUAGCAGCUGUUCUCUAUCUCAAUUGAGUUUUGACUAGGAAAUGGGCUUAGGAUAAAACACAUAGGCUUUCGAGUAAUCAUUUGUAAGAAAUUGUAGAUAGUGACCACAGUUUAAUAGCAUUAGAUAAAUUAUGAAAAGUCACUGAAAUACCUCCUCUGGAAAGUGUUAGAAGCUCAAGUACAAUGGCUUAGUUAAAGGCAGGUGGGGGAGAAACUUGAAGAAUGUGGUCCAGUACAAGAAUACUCCAUUUUUCCCCCAAGACAAUGAAAAUGACAUGAAGUAAUGGUAGUUAUGUAUACAGGAACAAUUUAGGAGACUUAGAAUGUUCACUUCUUUUGCCUUCUAGCUGAGCAUCAAAAUUCUCUCUCUGUCUCUGCCUCUCUCUCUCUCUCUCUAUUUUCCACUUCUAGCUCCAACUAUUUUAAAUCCCUCCCCCAAUAGAGCUCAUAACAAACAUAAAACAACAUUUGUUGUAUGUUUACAAUAGAUGUUCAAGCUAAUAUUUAUGUAGGUUUAGCCCUGGCAUUAAAUUAAGGUUUGGUUCACCAACAGGGUGCCUAGAGACUUCACCUCUAUUUCCAUGAGGGACUGAACAGCCUCUUGAGAAGGAACUCAUCAAAAUGGAAGAGUUGGCAAUAAGAAGUUUGGCUAAAUAACCAAGCACUGAAGUUGCAGAGGAGAAAGGAUUUGAAAGGCAGUACAGUGUCCAGGGGCAAGUUGGCAAUUUUUAGCAGGAGGUGAAGUGAUGCCAGCAAAGGUAACAGUGCUCAGAGGGACCAGUAGUCCCCAGGAGGAGCAGGGGAAUCCCCAGUGGAUCUGAUUUCUUCAAGAGCACAUGUGAGAUUAUCAGCUGGCGUUACAAUUUUGGAGUGGCAGUGAGAAGCAGUGAAUUUGAGGUCACUCAAUUUGCAGACCCCAAAGGGUGAAAUGUUGAGAAACAUGAGUUACACAUGUAUUUAACAACUCUUGUGUAUUAUCACAAAUCCUAUUUCACCUCUCAUGCCCCCGAGGCUUUGGUGUCCAGUUCUCUGAAGACUUCAUCAAUCCUCAGCCACAAAUAACCUGAGAGCAACUCACCUUGCUUCAUACUAUGAAGCUCCCUGAUGUCACAGCAUGGCAGGCCUGUGGCAACCCCUCAACACUUAUGCAUGAUCCCAAACAGCUAGAGGAUUAACACCUACGGUGUAACCCUUGACCAGCAGGAAAUGGAAAUUACUGUCUUUUUGUCCCCGCAGGUGAACGGUUCUAAAAUGCAUUUUAUAAGCCUUCUGAAAUAGUCCCACAGGUCAAGCACCUACUUGCUCCAGUGGUGACCAACUCAAUGAUGCAUCCUUGGGUUGACUCUCCCUCCUUUCCAGUUCACUUUCCCUGCCCCUCACUCCUGCACCUCAGCAUCACAUUCCUGAAUAAACCACUCACACAUCUGUCUUAUUUCAGACUCUGUUUGGGGGAAUCCACAAUAAAAAUUUGUCAUUUUGAGUUAAACAUUGCUCUCACCUUGAAGACAUAUUUCCAUACCUAGAGAUUUCUGAAGUUCUCUCCCUUUUCCUAUCAUCUCCUUUGUGCUUUGUCUGACCUCCAUGUUACAGAGCCCCAUGAUAUUUAGAGCCAGUACUGCUAGGGAAGUAGUUCAGUUGUGUUUUAAAUGGUUCAGCAACUUGUAACAUCAAUUGAGAACCAGAGGAAUACACUUGGAGGCCAAGAAAAAAAUGUUAGCUAAUAUGUACCAUACAGUAUGAUUCCUUGGGUAAGGGAAAGUAUAUGCAAGUGACAGAGGAAAAUUGAAAGUUGUAGCCCUUUUUUUGGACUUUAGAUUUGGAAUUAGAGUUUCUCUUCUCUUGAAAGACCUUCUUUUUGUGGAUAAUGAAUCUGAAGACCAGAAGAGUUGGCCAAUUUGCCCUAGUUGAGAGUGGCAAAUAAAUGAAGAACUGAAGAAUGUGUCUCUUUAACUAGUGCUCCUUUGUUGAGAAGAUACAAAACAACUGAAGGGUAUGGAUGAAGCCAUUGGCUUAUUCAUGUCUCUCUUGAUCACAAUGAGAUUAAUAUAUAUAGGACAUUCACACAAAGAGGACAUUGACUCGAUGGCUUACAGAUUAUUAGAAAUGUUACCUACUACUAAAGGAAGAAUGUUUCAGGUGUGGAUCUGGAUCUCUGAUUUAAAAAAUACACCACACUUGCCUCAGUGAAGCAAGUCAACUUAGGUGCUGAUACAAUGCUACUGCAGCUGUGCUGAGUUCAUGAAAUCAGAUCCCACUCUCUUCACCUACCCCUACUGUAUUCAUCCUACUUUCCGUCUGCUCUGCCCUUCCCAUUUGGUAACCUAUUCAUGAAACACCUGGCUCUGGGUCCUUCAGCAUCACUCCAUGUUUUACUGCUGGCAUCACUUUUCUUGGCACAGAACCUCUUAGGGCUGCUAUCCUAGGAGUAGAUGCUACUCAGGCUGGCUUAGUCCCAGGCUUCACUCACUUCUUGGCCCAUGCCCAGGAGGACCGGAAAGAACAAACUCUCUGCACAUCUCUGCAGGUGGCCACAGAGCCCCCAUCUGAGCCUUGCUGAUGGAGAAGAGCAUGCUGCCUCACAAGAUAACUGUGUGGCUCUGUUCAAAAACCUUGUUUAGAAGUUAUUAUUUCUUUUAUUGCAUUAGAAUUUGCCUCACUGUAGAUUUUGUGCUUCUGUCCUGGUUCAGCCUUAGAUAGCCAUGUGAAAGCUCUUGCAAUAGGCCUUUCUGCUAGUCAGGAGUUCUCAGACCCAUCUCUACUCUUCACUUUUCUCAAGACUAAUAUCAGACUCCUGGGCUCUUCAAGGUUUCCUCAUAUGAUAAAAGUUCUAAGCCCUCCAUUGUCCUAGUCACUGUCCUCUCUGUUCCAUCCCUGUCUGCCCUUCCAAGAUGCUGCACCCGGAGAUGAAUUUGUCCUUCCUGGGGCAAGUCACCAUGAGAUGAUUACUUUUGGAUCAUACUGAAUUUGUGGGUUAAAUAAACUCAUAGGUCUUUAGCUCAUGCACUAAAUCCAAAUUCGAUCUCUUGCUAUAAAUCAUUUUUUUGAAUAGCUGAACAAUAAGUAAAUAAUACACAAAUGAAUACUAAUCAAUAUUUGAACAUCCUCAGUAUUUUCAGCCCAAUUUUUAGCCAGACAUAGCUCAUCUUGUAUACUUCACUAAGGACACUUUAUAUGAUCAAGCAAUUAAUAUUAUGAUGUCAUGUCUCACAAGCCCCACAGUGUCACUUCCAGUCUCUUCACCACAAAGAACGUUGAAGCCUUCGUAUUUUUUUGAAAAUCAUAUUUCUAGCUGCAGGAUGGGAUGUAAGAAAAGUUCAGAUUAGGAUUAUUCUAGGCUCCUGACUAUAACUAAAAUCCUGAUUUUUAUGGAAAGGAAUGAGGAUCAUUCCUUCAAAUUAGAUUUUUGUGAUAAAAAGAAAAAAGUUGGUAAUCUAAUCUAUUCAAAAUUUUAACAAAAAGAACUGCAUUUUCUUUGGAAAAUAAUAGUUGAUUCCUUUUUGCUUUUUUUUACUUAUGAAUUGGAGUGCAAUAGAGUUUAAUAAAAAUGAUGUGAAACACUCUU
Molecule: long non-coding RNA, 6379 nt
Organism: Gorilla gorilla gorilla (western lowland gorilla)
Lineage: Eukaryota; Metazoa; Chordata; Mammalia; Primates; Hominidae
Exons: 3
Source: RefSeq, a predicted model, not a curated record